UGGGGGAUAUUGCACAAUGGGCGAAAGCCUGAUGCAGCGACGCCGCGUGGGGGAUGAAGGCCUUCGGGUUGUAAACUUCUUUUGCUCUGAACAAGGCAUGCCUUUGGGGUGUGUUGAGUGUAGGGGUUGAUUAGCGCCGGCUAACUACGUGCCAGCAGCCGCGGUAAUACGUAGGGCGCGAGCGUUGUCCGGAAUUAUUGGGCGUAAAGGGCUUGUAGGUGGCUGGUUGCGUCUGUCGUGAAAGCUCAUGGCUUAACUGUGGGUUUGCGGUGGGUACGGGCUGGUUUGAGUGCAGUAGGGGAGGCUGGAAUUCCUGGUGUAGCGGUGGAAUGCGCAGAUAUCAGGAGGAAUACCGGUGGCGAAGGCGGGUCUCUGGGCUGUUACUGACGCUGAGGAGCGAAAGCGUGGGGAGCGAACAGG
Molecule: ribosomal RNA, 420 nt
Filed under: Fusobacteriota bacterium
Lineage: Bacteria; Fusobacteriati; Fusobacteriota
Description: Fusobacteria bacterium partial 16S ribosomal RNA
Rfam family: Bacterial small subunit ribosomal RNA
Source: RNAcentral